ACUAGGUGAGAACUAAUUCUGUAAUCCACGAUACUGGAAGGCCAAGGCUGGAGGAGUGUCUAAGAUCAAGGGUUCUGGGCUGCAAUGCGCUAUGCCGAUCGGAUGUCCAUGCUAAAGACGAUGUCGAUAUGGCGAUCCUGAGGGAGCUCUAAACCACCAGGUCCUCCAAGGAGAGGUGAACCGGCCCAGGUCGGAAAUGGAGCAGGUCAAAGGCCCCGUGAUCAGUCGCUGUAGUGAAGUACAACGCGAUCAGGCCUUUUACACCGCAAUGAUUAUAAAAGAACAUGAUUUCU
Electrophorus electricus (electric eel) is the source of this 293-nucleotide unclassified non-coding RNA. It matches the Rfam family "Metazoan signal recognition particle RNA". From Rfam's summary of the family: The signal recognition particle (SRP) is a universally conserved ribonucleoprotein. The record is from Ensembl. Lineage: Eukaryota; Metazoa; Chordata; Actinopteri; Gymnotiformes; Gymnotidae.